RNAcentral lists this ribosomal RNA (925 nucleotides) under uncultured Pseudomonadota bacterium. RNAcentral's name for it is "bacterial SSU rRNA". It matches the Rfam family "Bacterial small subunit ribosomal RNA", at positions 56 to 1029 of the family's 1533-position model. Lineage: Bacteria; Pseudomonadati; Pseudomonadota. The record is from RNAcentral.
UGCAAGUCGAACGCAGUAGCAAUACUGAGUGGCAGACGGGUGAGUAACAUGUGGGAAUCUGCCUUGUGGUUCAGGACAACAUUGGGAAACCGAUGCUAAUACUGGAUAAGCCCUUACGGGGAAAGUUUUAAUGCCAUAAGAUGAGCCCGCAUUUGAUUAGUUAGUUGGUGAGGUAAUGGCUCACCAAGACAAUGAUCAAUAGCUGAUCUGAGAGGAUGAUCAGCCACACUGGGACUGAGACACGGCCCAGACUCCUACGGGAGGCAGCAGUGGGGAAUCUUGCACAAUGGAGGAAACUCUGAUGCAGCGAUGCCGCGUGAGUGAAGAAGGCCUUUGGGUUGUAAAGCUCUUUUGUAGGGGAAGAUAAUGACUGUACCCUAAGAAUAAGGUCCGGCUAACUUCGUGCCAGCAGCCGCGGUAAUACGAAGGGACCUAGCGUAGUUCGGAAUUACUGGGCGUAAAGCGCGCGUAGGCCGUUGAGUUAGUUAAUUGUGAAAUCCCAAAGCUUAACUUUGGAACUGCAAUUAAAACUGCUCGACUAGAGUUUGAUAGAGGAAAGCGGAAUACAUAGUGUAGAGGUGAAAUUCGUAGAUAUUAUGUAGAACACCAGUUGCGAAGGCGGCUUUCUGGAUCAACACUGACGCUGAGGCGCGAAAGUAUGGGUAGCAAAGAGGAUUAGAUACCCUCGUAGUCCAUACCAUAAACGAUGAUUGCUAGAUGUUGGAAAUUUAUUUUCAGUAUCGCAGCUAACGCAUUAAGCAAUCCGCCUGGGGAGUACGACCGCAAGGUUAAAACUCAAAUGAAUUGACGGGGACCCGCACAAGCGGUGGAGCAUGUGGUUUAAUUCGAAGAUACGCGCAGAACCUUACCAACCCUUGACAUGUCUGUCGCGAGUUUAGGAAACUAGACUUUUCGGUUCGGCCGG